Non-coding RNA from Vicugna pacos (alpaca), 353 nucleotides. The record is from RefSeq and is a predicted model, not a curated record. NCBI's taxonomy places the organism in Eukaryota, Metazoa, Chordata, Mammalia, Artiodactyla, Camelidae.
CAGGCACCAGCUGAGACUUCUGAGAUGGGAGCUAUUUCCUACUGCGCUGCUGCCGGAAGGAGCCAGGAUGCCCCACUGGGAUCUGGGUGUUGGGAGCAGUGUCCAGUCUGUGCAGUUGGUGCUAGAGCUGGAUUCACAUGUACGGCUACAGAGAUGGGAGAGAAAAUGCAUCCUAAAAGCAGUGGGAGUUAAUUUGCUCUUCUGUAAUCAAUCACCCUGGACAGAAGCAAAAACACACCACAGCAAGCCCAGAAUGGCUGAGAGGAGGUGCUUGGCUGGCAGGCAGGGAGAGGACCCUGUAGAGAGGAUGCUUUUCUCUUUAUGGAUUUAAAAUAAAAUGAAUCUUAAGGACA